RNAcentral lists this ribosomal RNA (585 nucleotides) under Trichoderma aureoviride. RNAcentral describes it as "eukaryotic LSU rRNA". The stretch from base 247 to 400 matches the Rfam family "5.8S ribosomal RNA". The record is from RNAcentral. Lineage: Eukaryota; Fungi; Ascomycota; Sordariomycetes; Hypocreales; Hypocreaceae.
GUCGUAACAAGGUCUCCGUUGGUGAACCAGCGGAGGGAUCAUUACCGAGUUUACAACUCCCAAACCCAAUGUGAACGUUACCAAACUGUUGCCUCGGCGGGAUCUCUGCCCCGGGUGCGUCGCAGCCCCGGACCAAGGCGCCCGCCGGAGGACCAACCAAAACUCUUAUUGUAUACCCCCUCGCGGGUUUUUUUUAUAAUCUGAGCCUUCUCGGCGCCUCUCGUAGGCGUUUCGAAAAUGAAUCAAAACUUUCAACAACGGAUCUCUUGGUUCUGGCAUCGAUGAAGAACGCAGCGAAAUGCGAUAAGUAAUGUGAAUUGCAGAAUUCAGUGAAUCAUCGAAUCUUUGAACGCACAUUGCGCCCGCCAGUAUUCUGGCGGGCAUGCCUGUCCGAGCGUCAUUUCAACCCUCGAACCCCUCCGGGGGGUCGGCGUUGGGGAUCGGCCCUGCCUUGGCGGUGGCCGUCUCCGAAAUACAGUGGCGGUCUCGCCGCAGCCUCUCCUGCGCAGUAGUUUGCACACUCGCAUCGGGAGCGCGGCGCGUCCACAGCCGUUAAACACCCAACUUCUGAAAUGUUGACCUCGG